Long non-coding RNA from Setaria italica (foxtail millet), 1137 nucleotides. RefSeq lists it as uncharacterized. The record is from RefSeq and is a predicted model, not a curated record. NCBI's taxonomy places the organism in Eukaryota, Viridiplantae, Streptophyta, Magnoliopsida, Poales, Poaceae. The transcript is spliced from 2 exons.
CACCACGCCAUUCCAUUUGUCUUCAACAACACCCUCUCUCUCUCUCUCUCUCUCUCUCUCUCUCUCUCUCUCUCUCUCUCUCUCUCUCUCUCUCUCUGCAUCUGCUACUGUUUCCUUUUUGUCUACUUUCUCAUUUGUUUUUUUUUCAACCCGAAGUAAUUUUCUAGAGACUAGAGUCACUAGAUUUCUAGAGUAAUCUUGCAGAAAUGGCUUGUGUUUUGGUUGGCAUGAAAGGAAAAGAAGGGAAGGCAUGCUUCGGCUAGCUUGUUGCUAGGAUAAGGAGGUAUUGGCGCGCCUCAAUCCGAAGGCUUGGCUGAUUGGCACGGCAGCCAUGUUCUUGGAUUGAGCCGCGUCAAUAUCUCCCCUUGCUCAUCUCCUAUACCUGGCUCGCGCUUGCCUUCUGAUGUUCCUCAUGUUGAAGCUAACUAAUCGCAAGCAAGAAUCGUCAGAUGCAUGCUAGCAGGAUCUACAGGAUCUAUGGAAGUAUGGAGAACGCUAGCGUCGAGAUAUCAUCUUCAGGAGAACAUGAACGGAAUUGGUUUCCAAGCAAACUAGGAAUUACUACACGGCCAACCAUGAGAGCUACCUUCCUCCUUGUUGUCGUCACUAUUGCGGCCAUCUACAUCUUUGCAAUGCCCGCUACCGCGAUCUCCCAGCCGCAGCAAGGAUGGUACCCAUUACCAGUUAUUGAUGCUCCAGUGUCCAAGAGCUUGGCAAGUGGGCGGUGGUGGAGUACAACAAGAAGGCAAGAUGAACUUCCAUCGGGUGGUGGGUGGUGAUAAGGGGGAGGAUCCGCGGCUAGGCCAGAGUUACCAUUUCAUCAUUGAUGCGUCGAACGGUAAUGGCAAGGACAGAAAGUACGAUGCGGUGUUGGUUGAGCAAGUUUGGUUGGACAAGAGCAUUCUCAUCUCCUUUAAACCCAAGAAUUUGAGUGUUUUUUGUUUGCACGCUGCAGAUUAUUUGAAUGUAAUAAUUCAAGCCUAUGGAUUUACAUCUAGUUUGUUUCUGUAUCAAUCAAUCAUCGUAUCUGUUAUCUCUAGAUAGUCAUGAAUUUCUGGUACAACUCUAUUUCACAUCUACAUUAGACAAGUUUGGUUAGACAAGCGACUCUAAGGAAUUGAAUUUGCCCACUCUUAA